This 398-nucleotide ribosomal RNA is filed under the name uncultured bacterium. Its description in RNAcentral is "bacterial SSU rRNA". It matches the Rfam family "Bacterial small subunit ribosomal RNA", at positions 30 to 422 of the family's 1533-position model. The record is from RNAcentral.
AUUGAACGCUGGCGGCAUGCCUUACACAUGCAAGUCGAACGGCAGCACGGGAGCUUGCUCCUGGUGGCGAGUGGCGAACGGGUGAGUAAUACAUCGGAACGUACCCUGAAGUGGGGGAUAACGUAGCGAAAGUUACGCUAAUACCGCAUAUUCUGUGAGCAGGAAAGAGGGGGAUCGCAAGACCUCUUGCUUUUAGGAGCGGCCGAUGUCGGAUUAGCUAGUUGGUGAGGUAAAGGCUCACCAAGGCGACGAUCCGUAGCGGGUCUGAGAGGAUGAUCCGCCACACUGGGACUGAGACACGGCCCAGACUCCUACGGGAGGCAGCAGUGGGGAAUUUUUGGGACAAUUGGGCGCAAGCCUGAUCCAGCCAUGCCGCGUGAGUGAAGAAGGCCUCGGUG